CCUUCAGCCACACGUCCUCUUUUAGUAUGGUGCUUUUACUGACACGUGGCAUGCUCUUUUAAGACUAUUCUCUCGAUGUAUUGCAAUGGGCUUCUGCCAUUGAUUUUUUUUUACACACGCUGGUCCAGAUUUUUUUAGGGUUUCUUUCAAGUCGUCAGUCACCGUACCCCUUCGGAUCUCACCAAAUCCAAUCAACAUCUAUGUAACGGCUUCGAUUUUCCUUAAUAUACUACAUUAAUCCAGCAUUGGCGUCGUUUCCACCUCUCCUCCCACUCUUUCACAAUCGGCCCAAACAUCAUCGAAGGUGACCGAUUGAAGUUCCCACAGCUUCACAGCUCCAAAAUCUGAAAGAACAAUCUCUGUCAAGCAUCAAUUUCAACUAUGGAAUGGGUGAUAGCUUUCUUGUCCUCCAGAUUAUAGAGAAAGUUUGUGUCGGACAAAUAAUCUUGAAGCUUGCUUUGGAGAAUGGUUGUGGCAUACUCAGGAUGAUCCGCACGUUGGGCUCUGAAUCUACAAGACUUUCAGAAAUCAGUAACAACUCAUAAGUGAAUUCUUAUCAAUGGAAUAUCUGCCAAGGUGAGAUUAUUGAUCUCUUGAUCUGGAAGUAGUGUUGCACCUUCGACAGAAACUGGAAUGUAAAGGUUGUAGACUUUGGGCUGUCAAAGUGGAAGAACGCAACAUUCUUAAGCACUAGAUCCGGGAAAGGAACACCACAGUGGAUGGCCCCUGAAGUUCUAAGGAGUGAACCUCCGAAUGAUUAGUGUGAUGUGCUCAGCUUUGGAAUCAUCUUAUGGGAGCUAAUGACUACUUUAAUUCCAUGGGACCGUUUGCGAUUGUUACAUAAACAUUGUUCUAACUUUUUAAUUUCUUCUUGGUGACAGUCAACGCUAACGCAAGGAUCUGUUGGGGCGAACCAUCAGCUAAGGUUCAGAGCAAACUUGAUGUUGUUGCAAGUAGAGCAAACCUUAGAUUUUCUGAUUUAAUGAACGUCUUUGCUUUCCUUCUCUUUUCAGGUUGCCAGGUCAUGGGCAGACCCAGGAUCAUCUACUUUGAAGGUCGUUCAUGCACAGAACAUUGAACCAACGACCAUCUCUGAGCUUAACCAGUUUAUUACGACCGCUGAUUCACAGGUGAAGUAUCCUUACUUAUAUCUACAAGUUGCAAAUUCUAAAUUAAUGAAACAUGUUGAGCUUAUUCUUGGUAACUAUUAGAAUUCAAAGGUCAGUAGAAUUCAAAGAACGUGUUAUGGAAACUAUUAGAAUUCAAAGGUCAGUGAAAGCGUCCUGUGUGAACAUUUCUUCAUAGGUUUCAUCUCUAAUAAAGAUUAAAACGAUUAACUCCACUUCUAUCAUUACUCCUGUAUAGGGAUGUAUCUAUUGUUUGCAUGGUGUGUUCGACGCACUAGCAGUAAUAUUUCAUGAAAAGUUACUCAGCUUCAACGUGGGCGUUAAAAGUCACUAUAGGAGAAAGGGGAAGAAGCACUUGAGCUGAAAGAAGAAGGUUCAGAUUUGCACUAGGAACAGUACUGGUGCCAAGUUAUGAGAAAGAGGUAAACACUUCUAAUAUCAAAGAAUUUAAGAGAGACCAUACGCUAUUAAGUAUGUGUGGUUGAAGUUUCAUGCCUUUGUAUGUUAUGUUCUCCUCGAAUCCAUCAACUAGAUUGCUAGCGUAUUGAAGAAGUUAAUAGAUGAUGGUUUGACUUCUUUCUACGACCAAAUUUUUUUCUUCAGUGCAGGUCUUUAUUUAGAUUGUAGUUCCCAUCACCUAUGACUUUUUCUAUUUAUAUUACACUAGCAGCAAGUGUUUUCUGAAGAAUUUAACAGGAAACAUCAAGUGAGAAAUCGUCUAAAAGAGUGAGCAUCAAGAAUUUUUUUGCUUUUGACUAUGUAAUUAAGUUGCAUUACACUUUGUUGUAUGACUGUAUCAACCAUUAAAUCACUAUGAAUUCUCAAAUAUAUAACUGGGUCUGUUAUUUUUCUUCAGAUCUGUUACUGGUGAUAACUUUUUUUAAUAAAGUAAGGAUGAGAUAAUUGAGAAAAAAAGUAAGAUGAGAUAGAUCUAUAAGGUAGUAGUUAACUGUUCGAUUUUGAACAUGUGAAGAUAUAGUUUUGGGAAGUAGAUGGUGUGAUUUUCAGUAGAGAAAAACAAGAAUUUGUACACAAACUAAAGAAAGGAAUACUGAUGAUUGACGUUGUGAGCAUUAACCGUAAAGCAAAUGGAAUCAAUUUUUUAUUGGUUUAUGAGAUGAAACUCAUCUCAUGUAUCAGUUUUAAGGAAGUGAAGCGAAUCAAUAUUUGAGAGGGCCAGAGGCGAGGAUGAAAAUUUUGAAAGUGGAUAUGUAACAACCGCAAAUUAUUUACCAUUCAUCACUCUAUGAUUAAAAUAACGCACUUUCGAAACGAAGCAAAACAAAAAGUAAAUAAGCAAUUUUUUUUUAAUACAUGCCAAACAUAGAAAACGUUACUAUCAUUAUCCUUAUAUAGAAAACAUAGAAAACGUUACUAUCAUUAUCCUUAUAUCAAACACAGCGGAUCAUUAACAUAACACAGCGGUUCAUUUAAAACCGCACCGCAUGCACAUAUAUUUUAUCUUUUAAUAAUAAAAAUUUGUUUAUAUGUUCAGUAUUAAAAUCUGACUCUUAGAAAUAAAAAUAAUAGUUACUCUUACUUUAGAUUUUCUUCAGCUAUAUCAUAUUGUACAAUAGGGAUAAAAAAAAUAUAAAUUAUUACAUUUUUUAUCAACGAUGUUCAGUAUGUGUCUAACAAAAAAAUGUGUGAUCUUUUCAACUCAAACCACACCAUUUAAUGAAAUUUACGAUAUGAUCUCAGAAUAAACAUAGAUAAAAGUACAUUUUCAAAUGUUUUGUAAAAUUAAAAUAGUAUUAGUGUAAACUAACCCGCCCGUAGGGCGGGCCAAACCCUAGUAAUAUUAUAUUAGCUAGAUAUUUCAUGGGAACAUCAUGCCGUAAAGGAGGUACAGCUGUACUGCCCGCCACCCGGGUUCGAGUCUUGGCCACAACGGAUUUAACAUCCCUUCCGUUGGGGCGCUGGACCCCUUUCGGGGGGAUAGUUGGGAAUGUGGCUGCCCAGAUACCAGAGUUAUCAAAAAAAAAAAAAAAAAAAAAACAUCAUGCCGUAAAGUUGCUCUAAGUAUCCCUAUAAUGCAUCAUGUUAUUUUUUUACAAAUUUCAUCGUGGUUCUCUCAAUGUUGCGUUAGAUACUUAGUUAUGCAGUUUAUAUGUUAAAACUAACUAUCAACAGAGUUGUAUUAUUUGAAUUGUGUUUAACAAAAUGUAAAACAUAACUACAUGGCCGGCCUAAGUUACAAAAAAAAUACAUGGCCGGUCCUUUUGUUCCUCAAGGAGUAAAAGUAUUGAUUGCAAAAACAGGACUCGAUCGAAUUUUUUUUAAAACUUAAUCUAAGCGUUUGUCUAUCAAAGCUUGAAGAUUGUAGAAGUUUGGCUAGCCUUUAUUAAGAAAAUUGCUAUGAUUUUCCUUUUUUUUUUGUUCCUUAUAAUGUCACUAUGCCAUAGAAAUUUGGCUAGCCUUCAUUAAGAAAAGUGGCUAUGAUUUUUUUUUUUGUGCUAGUAGGUUCGUGAAACGAAAUCAUAUAUGUAAUAUGUAACGGAGUUUCUCCACGGCGGCGAUCCACCGUUAGCUCUCAUCCAUUUGCCGCACCAAGAUUUCAGCUUCACGGACACCCCAUUUCCCUCCGGUUCCCAGUGCGUUUGCAUAUCCAUAGGGUUGUUAGACGACUGCGUUUGAGUCACUUUCUCAACGGCCAUACCUAACAGUAACGGUUUACUGUUCGCCGUUAAGUACGUGCCGUGACAGCUUUUUAAUCUGAUCAGGUUCGGUUUACCGACGACGGUCUCCACCGUCCAAACGGAGAGCCGUGUAUAUCCUCCUUUUCGGCUUUGACGGAUGUGUUUUUGGUCGCUCUCGGCGACUAAAAACUUAUCAAGAUGGCUCCGCAACUUAACGGUGUUGCCAUUGGUGAAUAACUCCAUUUCUUUUGAGGUUUGAAGAAGAGACCACAACAAGGAGAGUUUUUUUUCUUGGUUUUGUGAUGGAAGGAGAGAUCUGACCCUGAGGAGGAAGAGGAAGGCUUUAUGGUUGUUUAUAUAGGUUAAUAAUUAAAAUGGGACAUAAAAAGCCUGGCUAAAAGGGAACUACUGUAAGUUAAUAUCCGGAGGUAGUAUUCAGUGUGCAAUUAUUUAGAAAAUUUUCAAUUGAAAUGAUGAAACAACUAACGUUAAAUAUUAAUCAAGUGUGAAAGUUGGAAGGAAAUCAACCAGUAAAUAAAUGUAAUAUUUCAAAAGAAAAUAUACUGUGGGAGGUUCAUCACCUCGUAACUUAUCGUACACUUACCUCACGCGCAUGAUGUUGAAGACUUCGCAAGAAAAUGUCUUAUAAAAUAAUAUCAUACAGUGUGUCGAGUUAUCUAUGAAUCACAAUGUCACAUCAAUAACUUAAGUUUUUUUUUUGAAAAAGAAAAUCAAUAUCUCAAGUUAAACCGUUGAUACUAGUAUAUACAGACAUAUCAUAUCUCUUGUUGGUUUGCAAUGAUUUAUAAUUUCUCUUUCGUUUCAACUGUUUUCUAAUGCACCAUCAGAAAUCUAAAUUGAAAUUUGAAAAUAAAAAGCUGGUAUCCAAACCAUUAUAAAUUAAGGAUGAAAUAUAAUCUUAUUGAUCCAUCCUGAUUAUGUAAUAUUGAUGAAAGACAAGUUCAGCUAGGCAAUUAUUUUAAUUGUGGCUCCUGAACAUAUAUAACUGAAUAAAUGUUAUAUUUUUGUUUAAAAAUAUAUAUUGUAUUAAAUGAAGUACAAAUACUAAAAAUAACUUUUUAUGUCUAAAAACUAUUAUCAAAACUAUAAAUUAAAAACACUUCAAACUAUUAUAGAAUAAAAUGGGUUAUGAAGUAUUUGAUAAAUUUUAAAAUUAUUUAGAUUUUUAAAAAUAUUUUAUAUUUUGGAACAUAAAAAAACUCUCUUAAUCACUUUACAUUUUCGAGACGGGUGGAGUGUUUCAUAUAAGAAAUCAUAAUACUUUUAAUGUUCAUAGUAGAGUGUUCUGAAAAAAAUGUUCAUAUUAUAUAGUUUUAACUUUUUUCGAGUAACAAUAGAGAAAACAAUGGAUGAUAGACGAUCAUGAGAUCAGCAUUGUCGCUGCCUCUUAGGUCACCCCUUAACCCAAGAAAACAAUAAAAACAAUAAUAGAGAAGAGAGAAGUCCAAGAGGCGAGUCUUGGGUAAAGGUUGGAAGGCCUGCCUCUUAGAGACACGUGUCAAGCUGAGAGAGGACCAAAAUAUAAGUGGGUCUCUCUCUCUCGAUCCUCUCUCUCCAAACACGAGUGCUUCAUCGUCCUUUCCACCAUCUCUGUGCAGGAAUCUGGGUAUUAAGGAUUAUUGGAUUUUUAUGAAUCCAGUCGGAAGGAUCUGGUAAAGAGCUUAGCCGUCGUAGAAUGUCUUGGUGCUCUUGGUUUGAACCUCGAAUCCACUGGCCCUGGUGUAUUUGAUGCUCUGUUUUCAAGUUUCUCCAUGAUUCUUGUGACAGAGGGUUUGAGUAUUGAUCAUAGUCUGAGAGCAAGAGAAACCACCAAAACAUCAGCCUUUGUAGCAGGGUUCGAGUAUUGAUCAUAUGUGUUGAGCGAGACUAAACCAUUACAGAUACAGGCUUCAGCCAAGAAAGACAUUGCCUCCACCAAAGUUGCCAAUUGAUCACAUAACCAAGCUCUGUCGUGGGGAUUGGAUGAUUAAAAGAUCGUCAAGUUCUAACCUAGUGCAGCAUCAACGUCCAUUACAAAAGGUUGUAUUAUCAGAAACUUAUAUAAAUGAUAUGGAUAUUAAAAGUGUAUUCACAAGAUCAAAUGUUCCUUCUCAAGUUCUUUCAAUUUUUUUUUGUAAGAACUCUUACUUAAAAACCUUGCAAUGGAGGACAAAAAUUUAAGUAUCU
This is a long non-coding RNA of Brassica rapa (field mustard), 5953 nucleotides long. RefSeq lists it as uncharacterized. The record is from RefSeq and is a predicted model, not a curated record. NCBI's taxonomy places the organism in Eukaryota, Viridiplantae, Streptophyta, Magnoliopsida, Brassicales, Brassicaceae.